GCAGGAGUCAAACUCGCGAGAAAGUGAUUAUGAGCAAAAGAGAAAAUGCCUUCAGCGAGCUAGAGCUGUGUUUGAAAGAGCCCUUAGCUACUUCAGAACUUCUGCCCCUGAAUCGAAAGAGGAAAUGGCAAUGCUUUUGGAAGAAUGGUUGAACAUGGAAAGCAGCUUUGGCGAAGUUGGUGAUGUUGAUUUGGUCCGUGCUAAGCUGCCAAAGAAACUCAAAAAGAGAAGGCAAAUAAAAACUGAGGAUGGUCCAACCGGGUAUGAGGAGUACAUCGACCAUCUUUCCCUUGAAGAAACGCGAACAACAAAUCUUAAGA
This is a non-coding RNA of Sesamum indicum (sesame), 320 nucleotides long. The record is from RefSeq and is a predicted model, not a curated record. Lineage: Eukaryota; Viridiplantae; Streptophyta; Magnoliopsida; Lamiales; Pedaliaceae.